Magallana angulata is the source of this 1516-nucleotide long non-coding RNA. RefSeq lists it as uncharacterized. The record is from RefSeq and is a predicted model, not a curated record. Lineage: Eukaryota; Metazoa; Mollusca; Bivalvia; Ostreida; Ostreidae. The transcript has 6 exons.
UACACAAAAACAAGAAACGAAGGAAUUUACGAUCACCUGGUAUAUUUACCUAAUCCUUGUCUUUAAAACUGCAUUGAAAACUGCGGAAUACCCAAGGUUAUUUGAAAGAAAGUAACUUUUUCAAGUACAAUUGAAACAAUGGGGGUUCUCAAUGACAAACGAUGUUGUGGCUUGGCCAAACUCUAACAUAGACAAAGAAGAUAGGAUAAAUGUAAGCACGGACACGCAGGGCAGUACUUGUAAUCAAGUGAACUUAUAGACAGGCAUAAAGAAAACUACGCGACUGGAACAAAUGUUCAAACACAGAGACGACGUGGAAGUGCAAACAACAAUCUUUGAAAGGAUAUGGCCUUCUGAGGGUUUUUCGAAGAAUAAUCAUUGCUUAAAAAUAUGCGUAAAAAAAGUAACCCUGGAAAUAGCCCAGCAACAGAAUAUCUAAUGCCGAUAUUGUUACCUCUUGCUUGGUUGCUACUUGUGGUUUUUUGUGGUAUGCUGUGUCAAAAAGAGGUGGUUCUAUAAAUGCUGCAAAUGUAGAAAAGGGUUGACACAAAAGCAAACGGCUAGCAAUGAAAACAGUCAAGUAUCCGAAAAAGAUCUAAGAAAUCUGGCAAAAUAUCCUAUUUAUACUCUUGGUGAAAACGGAGGCGUUCUUGUCGCGUCUCUGGACGAAACAGUUUUAAAUGGAAGAAACUCUAGAGAUGGUUUAUCAAGGAAUGAACAACCUGAUUGUAGUAAAUAUAGAAAAGAACACAUUUCUGUCGUACCAAACACUACAUACACACUCAUGAUGAACGAUCUAUCAUCAAUCACAGAAACUUCAUAUAUUAGCUCUGAGAGACUUUAAUUUCAGAGUCUACAGUUACGUUUGAUAUGAUCGAAAAGACUGCACAGUUAUUUUCUACAGACAUUGUUUGAAAAUGAUACAAAGGUAAAAGACUCUAUCAUUAUAUGCCAGCCAAAUAUAGUUGUCGAAUACAGGAGCAGUUGAUGAUUCACUUACCUGUCUACUGCUUGAAUAAAAAAGGCACAUUGAGCUUGGAACAUUUUUAUGGAAAUUACUAGAAGAUGUACAUCUUUAAAAUCUACUUUGUACAAAGUUACGCUGUUAUUUGCUUGAUACAUAUAUACAUAAAAUUUUUCCAACAUGCAGUGGAGUUAAAAAAUAAAAGGGGGCAUUGAAACGUUAAACGCAACUCCAAAAGAAAGGAAUUUACCUAAUACUAUACCAUGAAACUAAUUUUAUAAAAUGAUUGAGAAAGCUUUUCAUAGCAUUGCUUCAAGGAUGCAUACAUGUAUAAGUAGCUUUUCCUUUUGUGUUGUAUUAAGAUAAACAUUGGAUUUUCAGGGUCCGAUCAACAAAAGGUCCCUGAAACCACAGUAUUAAAAUAGAAAAAAAAAUUCAACUGUAUUGUAGUUAUCUUUUAUCAGUUCUGAGAGACCUUUUUGCAAAUAAGUUUAAUAUUCCACCUUAUGGCAUUUUUGCUGCUAUACAACCCCCCAAUAUUUAAUUACUUUA